RNAcentral lists this long non-coding RNA (220 nucleotides) under Sorghum bicolor (sorghum). RNAcentral describes it as "long non-coding RNA (SBIC_LNC006790)". Lineage: Eukaryota; Viridiplantae; Streptophyta; Magnoliopsida; Poales; Poaceae. The record is from RNAcentral.
AUAUAUGGGCGAUAAUAGGAGAAUAAAGAGGAUAACUAUGGUUUCUCUACUUCAAAGGGGUAUGUCUAUAUCUGGGAUGGACCACUUGAUAAUAAUACACCACAAAGGAUGCUUAUCCAUAGGCAUAUAAACUCUACUAGUCCUGCUAACGGGAGGUGGACUACAGAGGACCAACGUAGCUAUCACAUACGCGGCCUACCACACGAUCCAACUAGACAGG